GUGAGGAAUAUUGGUCAAUGGGCGAGAGCCUGAACCAGCCAAGUCGCGUGAAGGAAGAAGGAUCUAUGGUUCGUAAACUUCUUUUGCAGGGGAAUAAAGUGCAGGACGUGUCCUGUUUUGUAUGUACCCUGAGAAUAAGGAUCGGCUAACUCCGUGCCAGCAGCCGCGGUAAUACGGAGGAUCCGAGCGUUAUCCGGAUUUAUUGGGUUUAAAGGGUGCGUAGGUGGUUUGAUAAGUCAGCGGUGAAAGUUUGCAGCUUAACUGUAAAAAUGCCGUUGAAACUGUCGGACUUGAGUGUAAAUGAGGUAGGCGGAACGCGUGGUGUAGCGGUGAAAUGCAUAGAUAUCACGCAGAACUCCGAUUGCGAAGGCAGCUUACUAAGCUACAACUGACACUGAAGCACGAAAGCGUGGGGAUCAAACAGGAUUAGAAACCCUUGUAGUCC
Molecule: ribosomal RNA, 445 nt
Filed under: uncultured bacterium
Lineage: Bacteria
Description: partial 16S ribosomal RNA
Rfam family: Bacterial small subunit ribosomal RNA
Source: RNAcentral